GACGAACGCUGGCGGCGUGCUUAACACAUGCAAGUCGAACGGAAAGGCCCUGCUUUUGUGGGGUGCUCGAGUGGCGAACGGGUGAGUAACACGUGAGUAACCUGCCCUUGACUUUGGGAUAACUUCAGGAAACUGGGGCUAAUACCGGAUAGGAGCUCCUGCUGCAUGGUGGGGGUUGGAAAGUUUCGGCGGUUGGGGAUGGACUCGCGGCUUACCGGCUUGUUGGUGGGGUAGUGGCUUACCAAGGCUUUGACGGGUAGCCGGCCUGGGAGGGUGACCGGCCACAUGGGGACUGAGAUACGGCCCAGACUCGUACGGGAGGCAGCAGGGGGGAAUAUUGCACAAUGGGCGGAAGCCUGAUGCAGCAACGCCGCGUGCGGGAUGACGGCCUUCGGGUUGUAAACCGCUUUCGCCUGUGACGAAGCGUGAGUGACGGUAAUGGGUAAAGAAGCACCGGCUAACUACGUG
Molecule: ribosomal RNA, 468 nt
Filed under: uncultured bacterium
Lineage: Bacteria
Description: partial 16S ribosomal RNA
Rfam family: Bacterial small subunit ribosomal RNA
Source: RNAcentral